Molecule: transfer RNA, 71 nt
Filed under: Stegodyphus mimosarum
Lineage: Eukaryota; Metazoa; Arthropoda; Arachnida; Araneae; Eresidae
Rfam family: tRNA
About the family: Transfer RNA (tRNA) molecules are approximately 80 nucleotides in length. Their secondary structure includes four short double-helical elements and three loops (D, anti-codon, and T loops).
Source: Rfam by way of RNAcentral
GCCUUCGUGGUGUAAUGGUAGCAUAAUUGGCGUGUAUUCAAGAGGUCCAGGUCCGAGUCCUGACGAGGGCA